RNAcentral lists this ribosomal RNA (253 nucleotides) under uncultured bacterium. Its description in RNAcentral is "partial 16S ribosomal RNA". It matches the Rfam family "Bacterial small subunit ribosomal RNA", at positions 524 to 776 of the family's 1533-position model. The record is from RNAcentral.
UACGGAGGGUGCAAACGUUGCUCGGAAUUAUUGGGCGUAAAGCGCGCGUAGGCGGACCUGCAAGUCGGGGGUGAAAGCCCGAGGCUCAACCUCGGAACUGCCUUCGAUACUGCGGGUCUCGAGUCCGGGAGAGGUGAGUGGAAUUCCUAGUGUAGAGGUGAAAUUCGUAGAUAUUAGGAAGAACACCAGUGGCGAAGGCGGCGCACUGGCCCGGAACUGACGCUGAGGCGCGAAAGCGUGGGGAGCAAACAGG